RNAcentral lists this ribosomal RNA (584 nucleotides) under Marinobacter sp. HOT10D3. RNAcentral's name for it is "bacterial SSU rRNA". It matches the Rfam family "Bacterial small subunit ribosomal RNA", at positions 73 to 651 of the family's 1533-position model. The record is from RNAcentral. Lineage: Bacteria; Pseudomonadati; Pseudomonadota; Gammaproteobacteria; Pseudomonadales; Marinobacteraceae.
GGGGUGCUUGCACCCCGCUGACGAGCGGCGGACGGGUGAGUAAUGCAUAGGAAAUUGCCCAGUAGUGGGGGAUAGCCCGGGGAAACCCGGAUUAAUACCGCAUACGUCCUUCGGGAGAAAGCAGGGGAUCUUCGGACCUUGCGCUAUUGGAUGUGCCUAUGUCGGAUUAGCUAGUUGGUGGGGUAAAGGCCUACCAAGGCGACGAUCCGUAGCUGGUCUGAGAGGAUGAUCAGCCACAUCGGGACUGAGACACGGCCCGAACUCCUACGGGAGGCAGCAGUGGGGAAUAUUGGACAAUGGGGGCAACCCUGAUCCAGCCAUGCCGCGUGUGUGAAGAAGGCUUUCGGGUUGUAAAGCACUUUCAGUGAGGAGGAAAACCUUAUGGUUAAUACCCAUGANGCUUGACGUUACUCACAGAAGAAGCACCGGCUAACUCCGUGCCAGCAGCCGCGGUAAUACGGAGGGUGCAAGCGUUAAUCGGAAUUACUGGGCGUAAAGCGCGCGUAGGUGGUUUGAUAAGCGAGAUGUGAAAGCCCCGGGCUUAACCUGGGAACGGCAUUUCGAACUGUCAGGCUAGAGUAUGG